GCUCCCGUGGCGCAAUGGUAGCGCGCAAGACUUCUAUAUGGGUCUUCUGGCUGAUGAAUUAUAAAUAUAUGUGAAUUGGUCUGAAAAUAUGUGAAUCUUGAGGCUGCGGGUUCGAGCCCCGCCGGGAGCU
This is a transfer RNA of Aspergillus glaucus CBS 516.65, 130 nucleotides long. It matches the Rfam family "tRNA". From Rfam's summary of the family: Transfer RNA (tRNA) molecules are approximately 80 nucleotides in length. Their secondary structure includes four short double-helical elements and three loops (D, anti-codon, and T loops). The record is from Rfam. NCBI's taxonomy places the organism in Eukaryota, Fungi, Ascomycota, Eurotiomycetes, Eurotiales, Aspergillaceae.